UCCAGACUCCUACGGGAGGCAGCAGUCGGGAAUAUUGCGCAAUGGAGGAAACUCUGACGCAGUGACGCCGCGUAUAGGAAGAAGGUUUUCGGAUUGUAAACUAUUGUCGUUAGGGAAGAUAAAAGACAGUACCUAAGGAGGAAGCUCCGGCUAACUACGUGCCAGCAGCCGCGGUAAUACGUAGGGGGCAAGCGUUAUCCGGAUUUACUGGGUGUAAAGGGAGCGUAGACGGUUACGCAAGUCUGGAGUGAAAGGCGGGGGCCCAACCCCCGGACUGCUCUGGAAACUAUUUGACUGGAGUGCAGGAGAGGUAAGCGGAAUUCCUAGUGUAGCGGUGAAAUGCGUAGAUAUUAGGAGGAACACCAGUGGCGAAGGCGGCUUACUGGACUGUAACUGACGUUGAGGCUCGAAAGCGUGGGGAGCAAACAGGAUUAGAUACCCGGGUA
Molecule: ribosomal RNA, 446 nt
Filed under: uncultured bacterium
Lineage: Bacteria
Description: bacterial SSU rRNA
Rfam family: Bacterial small subunit ribosomal RNA
Source: RNAcentral